Molecule: long non-coding RNA, 2472 nt
Organism: Equus caballus (horse)
Lineage: Eukaryota; Metazoa; Chordata; Mammalia; Perissodactyla; Equidae
Source: Ensembl
CCCUAGGAUUGUUUCCUAUAUACUUGGGAAUUUGGUCAAUAUUAACCAAGAAGAAGGAAGAAACACACUUAGAAGCAUGAAGUCCCAUUGAGAAAUAUUGAACGAAUAUCCUUCCUACUAUACUGUAUUGGAUAUACCUUCAAAACUCUGCUCAAGAAUCACUUCAUGCAUGAAGCUGUCCCUUGAUGAGGAUACUUGGCCACUUGUGUCCAAUUUUAUUUGGGCUCACUCAUCUUACUCCGUUCCAGUUCAUUGGCCGCUCAAGCAUCCAGACCUGACACCUCUGGGUCACCUGUGACACUUGCUCUUCAAACCUUCGAGUCUAGCUCUAAUCCUCAUUUGGAUUAGUUAGCUUGGUUGUUUGGCUGUUCUUAAAAGUCUUGAUUCCUCAUCUGUAAAAUGGAGUUAAAGUGAAGCUCAAGUGAGAAGGAAAACUUACUCCCAGAGAGAAAAACAAAGUACCCACGCACUGGCCAGCAGGGCAAUUACAACAGAAGGGGAAAUAGUACGUGUCAAACGGCACAGCCUUUAGGUUAUCUGGUCUCCAGGAAGAGGACUUUUCAGCUGGAUUUGAGAGUCACGAUGAGAAGAAAUAUUUGGGCAUUAUCAGCUACACCUGAAGAUUACUGGACAUUUCAGAAAUAAAAAUAAACAGCAAAGAUGAAGCUCCACCUGACAAAAUUGUCACACAUUUUUUAGGGGGAGGGAAAAAGCCCUUUAAGUUUACAGGAUGAACACCAAAGUAAUAAAGGACAGCAUUUUGAAAAAUAAGCUUUUGAUAUUUCACAAGAAGAGGCUUAACACUUACAAUUGUGCAAGCUUUCUCCCUUGAAAUUUGCACAUGGAACAAUUUCUUUUAUUUUCUUUUGGAUGUUCUCUAGAACAUUGUAUUCAAUUCUAACACCAUAUUGGGAUUCAAGUGGUUUCUCAAGCUAAGUACAUUUAUGAUAAUAAACAAAAUAACAGAAAAUAAAAUAAUAACUAACAUUUUGUUCUUCCUGUGUGCUACGCUUUGUCCAAAGUGCUUUCACAUAUUAACUUGCUUAGUCCUCACGGCAGCCCAGGGAUGAGGCAUUACUGUUUAUCACCAUUUUCUGGAAGAGUCAGAGAGAGCCAGCUUGCCUAAGGCCAUGUUGCUACUAACAAGUGGAACAGAAAUGUGAAUCCAGAAAGUCUAGCUCUGGAGCCUAUGUCUUAUAUUAUUAAUAACAAAUCUAUAAUUUUUAAAUGUUCCAGUAAGCCAAACUAUAAAAAUGGAAGUUCUUUCUUUAACUAACUUUUUGAAGUCCUCUGAGAUAUUACUGCCACCUAGAAGUUGUUGUUCCCUGAACCUGACAUUUUCAUUUUUCACUCACCACAAGUAUAUGGUCUCUAUUUGUUUAUCUUCACUGACUUUGGGUUUUGUUUUGUUUUUGGCUUUACGGUGCUCUUUACUGGGUAGGCCUGACCCAAGGAAGGCCUGCUUGGGGAGUAAGCUUACUCAUAUAAUCCUCUGGUUUUGAGACAUAUGUGUACACACACAUACGUACACACACAUAUACAUAUUAAGAGAUUUAUUGCAAAGAAUUGGCCUGUGUGGUUGUGGGGGCUGGCGGUCAGGAAAGGAAGAGCCCGGAGAGGCUACGACUCACAGGGGGAGACUGAAGCUGCUGUCCAUGGCAGAAUUCUUUUUCUCAGGGAACCCUCAGCCUUACUUUUAAGGCCUUUCAGGUAGAUUGUUCAAGAUAAUCUAUCUGAGGUCAAGUCAACUGAUUAUAGACAUUAAUUACAUCUGAAAACUCCCUUCAUGGCAACACCUAGGCUAGUGUUUGAUUAAAUAGCUGGGGACCGUAGCCUAAAGUUGACACAUCAAAACACACAAACAUAUGUAUACACUUUUUUUACAUAUAUAUUUAUAUAAUUUGUAUCUGUAUGUAUAUAUAUACACAAAGGGAGAGAGAGACUACAUUUUCCAUAUGGAAUUAGAUUCUCAGACAACAUAAUUAAUAAUAUAAAAAGACACCUUUGGACAUUGUCAAGCAGAACCAAUUCUGAAUGAGAAAAGGGCUUUUUUUGCUUUGAAAAAGUUUCCAAAGAGUAACUUUUAUACAAAACUUUGUUUUCAAAUACAAGUAUUCGGAUAAAAACGACCUAGUUGUAAAUUUUUCUGAGGUAUAAAAAUCGUCAAGCUUCUCAUCUAGUUUUACUUACAAAAUCUUUCCAGGAAAGUAUACUGUGACACAAACAAAUUCAAAUACUACCAGUUUUUGAAAUAACCCGGACUUGGUGGGGCUCUAACAGAAAACCACGUUUCUUCCACACAGCCCUUCAAAUGCUCUCUUCUGGAUCUUCCUUCUGCACCAGUGGGUAGACCUCGGGCAGAUCGCAUCGCUUUUGCAGUCACUUGCAGUCGCUUUUUCUGGUAUUAAGAAAGUCACUCCAACCUCCUGUCCUCUCACUUCUUAGCUGCCUCUGGGAACUUCUGGGUGAGAA